Molecule: ribosomal RNA, 480 nt
Filed under: uncultured bacterium
Lineage: Bacteria
Description: bacterial SSU rRNA
Rfam family: Bacterial small subunit ribosomal RNA
Source: RNAcentral
AAAUGAAUAGACGGGGACCCACACAAGCGGUGGAGCAUCUGGUUUAAUUCGAUAGUAAGCGAGGAACCUUACCAAGGCUUGACAUCCCACGAAGUUCGACGAAAGUUGAAUGUGCCGUAAGGAACGUGGUGACAGGUGCUGCAUGGUUGUCGUCAGCUCGUGCCUUGAGGUGUACGGUUAAGUCCGUAAACGAGCGCAACCCUUGUCUUAAGUUGCUUAUUUCUUAAGAGACUGCCGGCUCCAAGUCGGAGGAAGGUAAGGAUGACGUCAAAUCAGCAUGGCCCUUAUGUCUUGGGCGACACAGGUGCUACAAUGGCCAGUACAGUGGGUUGCGAAAGAGUAAUCUGGAGCUAAUCCCCAAAACUGGUCCAAGUUCGGAUUGAGGGCUGCAACUCGCCCUCAUGAAGUUGGAAUCGCUAGUAAACGCGUAUCAGCCAUGGCGCGUUGAAUAUGUUCCUGGGUCUUGUACACACCGCCCGU